RNAcentral lists this transfer RNA (72 nucleotides) under Deltaproteobacteria bacterium. Its description in RNAcentral is "tRNA-Val". It matches the Rfam family "tRNA". From Rfam's summary of the family: Transfer RNA (tRNA) molecules are approximately 80 nucleotides in length. Their secondary structure includes four short double-helical elements and three loops (D, anti-codon, and T loops). Further hydrogen bonds mediate the characteristic L-shaped molecular structure. tRNAs have two regions of fundamental functional importance: the anti-codon, which is responsible for specific mRNA codon recognition, and the 3' end, to which the tRNAs corresponding amino acid is attached (by aminoacyl-tRNA synthetases). tRNAs cope with the degeneracy of the genetic code in two manners: having more than one tRNA (with a specific anti-codon) for a particular amino acid; and 'wobble' base-pairing, i.e. permitting non-standard base-pairing at the 3rd anti-codon position. The record is from RNAcentral. Lineage: Bacteria; Pseudomonadati; Myxococcota; Myxococcia.
AGGCGAUUAGCUCAGUGGGAGAGCACUUCCCUGACACGGAAGGGGUCGGCGGUUCGAAUCCGCCAUCGCCUA